This 4594-nucleotide long non-coding RNA is filed under the name Homo sapiens (human). Its description in RNAcentral is "non-protein coding lnc-OPCML-3:13". Lineage: Eukaryota; Metazoa; Chordata; Mammalia; Primates; Hominidae. The record is from RNAcentral.
UGAGUGUGAUGACAUUUAACUCCAACUGCAACAAUAUUUGCACAGUGAUGUAAACUUUACCAAGGGCAUUGCCAACCCUUUGCUCACUGGUAGAUCAGUGCCUCUUAAUUUUUUUCCUUCUUGCCAGUCUCCAAUGCUACCACCAAGGCUCUCUUGCUUUUUUUCUUUCCCCUCUCUCUCUACUCUUUUAAUUAAAUCCUAACUCAUCUCUCUGCUUCCAACCCUGCCUCUGCAUUAGUCAGUGCUUCUUAACAGGGGCAGGGCACACUCCUUGGAUUGUGGGAGUGGAAAAUUGAUUGGAUAUUGGUCACCACCAUAAUUGGAGAGGUACUGCUGCCGUUUAGUGUACAGAGGCCGCAGAGGUUAGAGACGCAGCAACGCAUGGCUAUUCAGCCACGGACGUCAAAUGCCUGCCAGACAUUUAGAAUCCCCAAACUCAAUGAGGACACGUUUUCCUCCCGAGAACAGCAGAAUGGUAACAAAGAACACAUGAAAAGAAAAUGCUUUCAAGGACCAAAGGAAUUCAUCUACAAAUAUGGAAUUUCCAGCAUGGAAGUCAGUGACAAAGCCCUGGCAUACCCCCAUCGCAGGUGUCGUGAGAACACCGUCCAGUGGGACGAGGCCAGCCCUGCCCUGAGAAGCUGAGAUUCCCACCCCACCUGGAGGGAGCUGAGCACCCUCACAGCAACUCUGAGCCCCUGACUCCAAAGGAGACUCUUCUCCUGUGGUAUCAGACGUAGAGGGCGGGCUCCCUUAAAGUAAAAUUCCACAACAGGGCAGUAGAAAGAUGCAAUGAAACAUAUACGAGUUAUUAAAUAUUGUCAUCAAGAUGAGUAAUAAAUCAGACAUUUUAUGGUUUCUGAUUAUAAAUUCCAUUUAUUCCAUAAGUGUUUAAAGAAAGAAAAAUGGAGACCCAACAGAGAUUUAAGCCUGCCCGAGAUGGGUAUAUUUCAUGAUUGCUUUGUGACUGCUGCAUCCUGGGUGGAAUAGGGGUGGGGGAGAUACAAAAGGGCCCUCUCAGGGCCAGGAAGAAUGAAUUGCUGGGUUUCUGCGGCUCUGUGAGUGCAUUCAUUGUCAUGUGAGACUCUUCCUAAGAAUUCUUUUGAAGUCAGGAAUUCUGGCCAGGUUCCUGGUGGACACACUCUUGAAGAUAGCCUACUCCUUCAAAUCCCAAAACCAACUUAAACAAGAGGCCAGGCGAGAAAAGCCAACGUGGGGAGACUCCAUAGGUCCUGGCAGGUGGCACUGAACAAUGCAGAUCCUUAACAGGAGGGAGGAGAUGAACUGUCCCAAAGAGUGGCUGCUGCAGAUCAGGGAGCUGGGCACAAUCCCAGCACAGCAAGUGUUCAUUCAGUAAAAAGUAUGCCUUGGGGCCUGGCGCAGUGCCUCACGCCUGCAAUCCCAGCACUUUGGGAGGCCGAGGUGGGUGGAUCACUUGAGGCAGGGAGUUCAAGACCAGCCUGGACAGCAUGGAGAAACCCCAUCUCUACUAAAAACACAAAAAUUACUUGGAUACGGUGGCUCAUGCCUGUAAUCCCAGUUACUUGGGAGGCUGUGGCACAAGAAUUGCUUGAACACAGGAGGCAGAGGUUGCAGUGAGCCAAGAUGGCACCACUGCUCUCCAGCCUGGGUGACAGAGUGAGACUCUGUCUCAAAAAAAAAAAAAAAAGUUAUGCUUUGUGUUCAUAAAACUAUGCCUUCUCCUCAUAUAGUACUUUACAGUUUACAGGUGUUAUUUCAUUACAUUUUGCACUACGGUUCUAGCAUAGCCAUUGUUAUUUUUAUUCACAGACAGAAAAAAAUGAGGUUGUCUCACUCAUAUAACCUGGCCUCUCUCAGCUCUGGUUGCUGUGGAGAGUAGCAUAAGUGAUAUCUCUUCAAUGGUGGUUCUACUGCACAAAGAGAAAACAAAACGUUGUCUUCUGGCCUUCCAAUGGCAGAAUUUGACCUGCUUUUGGCUUUGAAAUGCCUCAUAUGAUAUUCUUCUAGCAGAUUUGUCUAAUUAUAUUUUGCUUGGGCUAAGAUUAAAAUUAAUUGGUCUUUUCAUGAUCACACAUCAGGAGAGUAAUAGGACCAGGCACCUGAGACCAAGCCAGGGAUUAAAGAUUGGUUAUGGAUAAUCCACUAGCCAGAGAGUCUGAAUGUGGUGGGAGAUGAGUGGAGGAGACCCAGUGGGCCUCCGGCAGCUUGUUUAUCACUGGCAUCUUCAUCACAAGCUUUAUGUGACAGGAUUUCUCCUGAUGUGCCCACAGCUGCUGCCUCACUGCACGCACACAAGUGUGUGUACACAGGCACCCACACAGCUGGAGAAGCACACAUAUGCCUCCUUCUGCAACAUGCACACUGUUGAUUAGCCUCUGCGGAGUGCUGACUCUUGGAGAAAGACCAGAUAAAUCGCUUUGGAGAGGGAGAAAAGGAAAAAAAUAUGAUAAAGAAAAAAAAAUCUACUUUAUCCCCCUUCAAAUGCCACAAGAAAAUGUCACGGAAAUCGCUUUGCUGGAAAUAACAGAGAAGUUCAAAACAAAAUUGUUGAGUGUCACUCCUGGGCCCGACUCUCCCUUGCACUGGGCCCCUCCUCAGCCUGGGAGGCUCCUCGCUGCCUCUGCCACCACUCACCCUUCAGGAUGCCACUGCUGCAGCCUCCAGGAACUGAAAAACAGUUCUUGGAAAGCCUUCCACUAAAGGGAGUAAUCGAGAAUAAACAAAGGACAAAGACAUGAGUGGGAAAGAGCUCUUUCCCUGCCAGCUGGCCACUUCCAGCUCCAGGACAGUGUCCAUGAAGCCCACAGAAGGGAGACUCAUCAUCAUUUUCAAUGUCGUCAUUACCAAAAGCCUUUCUUAUGCGAUUCAUUGUGCAAGGCUGUGUACAGAAACUGUUGAAGGAUCCUUUUGCUUUCUUGUGACUUAAAAUCCAUGACAUUUCACAAUGCUACAAAAGGCGUCUCUGAUUUCCUUGGGUAUAGCUUUCUUUUUUCUUUUUAACUUUCUAUUCUUCGUCUAAUAUAACAGCACCACAGUGCACAACAGUGCUUGGCUGAAGGACAUGAAAACAUAAAUUUUCUGCAUUAUUAUAGAUUCAUCCACUCAUUCACUGAUUCAUUCAACAUUCCAAAAAUUCAGAGCCUACCAUAUUAAAUACCAGGUCCUCAACCAGGCUGUCAAGACAGAGGUGUAAACAAUUCACAGAUCCUGCCUUCAAGGAACUCACCAAAUAUUAUAAGCAGUGAUGUUCAAUCUCUUUUUUUCUUUUAAAGUGUAGGGAAACUUUCUCUACGUAAAAUGUUUCCAGGAAGCCCAAUGUAUAAAACCAAUAAACCAGAAUUUUUUGAUUAAGUGAGGAAGGAUAGACAGUGAGGGGAAACAUUUUAAGGAGAAAGUAUUAAACCCAUUCUAUAUGUGAUGAAAUAAGGCUCAUGGGGUUUAAGUAGCUUUUCCAAGGCGCAGUGAACAAGUGGAGAAUCCAGGACAAGGCCCCAGUUCUGUCUCAGCUUAAGUCUCUAUUCUUGCCUUUGGCCGGCUGCUGCCCCAUCAGGCCCCGUCAUACAAAUAGGCACCAAGAAGGGGACCUCAGCCCUCGCCUUCCUGAGUUUGUUCUUUACAUAGUUAGUUAAUAGAAAAACUCUCUUCAAUUACAAAUCACAACUAAGUUUCUCAUUACUGCAGACCUAUCCCUCGUACAGAAAAUCCAACUGAUAAGGGUUGAGAAUUGGUAUUAUGAUCCUUUUCCUGGGCUGGAAUAAGACCUUUGGCAAUAAUACAGCCCUGAUUAAUCUUUGGAUUAACCAAAUCAAAAUGAUCCUAAUUAUUCCUUACAUUUAGAUGAACUAGUUUAGAGAACAAUUUAGGCAGUUUUAGAAGGAAUAGAGAUAGAUCUACGCAAAAGACAAAUUUUUUAUUAAACUAAUUGCUAGUCCUUGGCUGAGAAUGCACAAGAAAUAGUAAAAUAGUAAAGGUUUAACUACCACCCUCAAAACUGGGGCCUGUAAGAUUUGAAUGUUACAAUUAAGAAACUUAGUCAAUUGAAAUAUAAACUCUGGGUUUAAAAUGUGUUUCAUACGGUGUGCAACAAUAUUUCUUUAGUGGAGAAUGUCUUAACUGUUAUUUUGUUGUUGCUGCUGCUUGGUUUUUUUGUUUUUAAAAACAAUUGAAAAAAAUUAGCCAUCAUGAUGAACACAAUUCCUCUUCAAAGAAAUGACUUAAAACCAGGAUGACAAGCAUGAUAAAACACAGCAUGCCACAUGCCCUAGAUUUAUAGCUCUUGUUCCACAUCUUGCUGGACUGUCAGUCAAAAUGACUCAUCCCAUUUGUGUGCAGGAGAGGUGAUGGGCCACAUUUUCCCCAACCUACCUCUUUCCAGACCUUGAACUGUGGGAGCCCAGGUGAGACCAAGAAGGCCUUUAUUUUUAUUUUCUUUUCACAUUGAAGCAACCAUCAAGGCUUGGGACUAACACCCUGUUGCUGAUAUAUAUAUAUAUAUAUAUAUAUAUAUAUAUAUAUAUUAUAUUAUAUUAUAUAAAUAUAUUAUAUGUAAAUAUAAUAUAUAUAAUAUAUAAUAUAUAAUAUAUAUAUAAAAGCUGGAAACCAUCAUUCUCAG